RNAcentral lists this non-coding RNA (30 nucleotides) under Mus musculus (house mouse). The record is from RNAcentral. Lineage: Eukaryota; Metazoa; Chordata; Mammalia; Rodentia; Muridae.
UGAUUAGGGUCCUGANAUUUUUAGGCAUGU